This 1183-nucleotide long non-coding RNA is filed under the name Homo sapiens (human). RNAcentral's name for it is "novel transcript". The record is from RNAcentral. Lineage: Eukaryota; Metazoa; Chordata; Mammalia; Primates; Hominidae.
AGUUGUAUGUACGGUUUCCAAGAGACUAUUUGGUUUGGUUGACUCUUCUGUCAACUCUCCAAACAUUCCUGAAAGAGGGCUGCAGGGUGACCUCCAGCAGACUGGAUGAGGGAGGCUGGCUUUUGUGUCAACAACUUAUGCAAGCAUCAGAUCCAGUGUUCUGGCAUUUGAAUUACAGCAUGUUCUAGAGAAAAAUAGAGUGUGGGAGCCAAGAACCCUCAUUUUAUACCUAAUGAGCUGUAAGGUUCUGGGCAAGUUUGAAAGCUUCCUACACCUGACUUUCUUCAUGUAAUCUCAUGAGCUGGUGGAGAGAGCAUAAACUGCAAAAACAGAUGAGAAAGUCAGUCAAAAGCAAAGUACUCUUUAUUUCCACAACUCGGACAAGUUUUCUGCAAUGAUAUUUGCGUGCCCUCCGUGUGUCAAGUUCUCUGUCACAGGCUUGAACAUGCAAGAGAAUCUCAAAAAAUGAUCCCUGAACCAGCAGCAUCAGCAUCACCUGUGAACUUGUUUGAAAUGCUAAUAUGGGGGCUCUACCCCAAAUCUACUGAAUCAUUAACUCAGCGGGUAGGGUCUAGCAAUCUGUGUUUUAACAAGCCUUUCAGGUGAUUCUGAAACACUUAAGUUUGACAAUUACUGCCGAGGACAGAUACUUGGGCUGCCUGUUGCAGUUUAUCAAACUGGCUGUUCAUUAGAAUCUCCUGGGAAGCCUUAUAAAAUUAUCAGUGCUGGGACUCCAAUGCCGUAGAUUCUAAUUUAUUUGGUCAGGGGUAGGCCAGGAAACCAGUAUUUUUAAAGUCUCCUAAGUGAUUCUAGUAUGUCUACCAGCAUUGAGUAUCACUAGCAUUUUAGGUAAUCUGGCUUUGACUCCUAGGCUUGAGCAACUUGGGGGACAGAAGGGAGGAGCUCAGCAUGCUUCCUCGGUUUAGGAUGAAGAGGAUAGGCAGGGAAGUAAGGAUAGUUCAGAAGAAUGUUUAAACAAGUCUGAAAUAAGAUACAUUUAAAUGUGAAAUGUGGAAGGGGAAGAAUUAUAAUUAAGCCAUAGUCUUCAGGGAACAUUUGAGGCAGUGAGCAUUUUAGGCUGAGUAACAGGAAAUAAGUUUAGAGAAAACCGGUGAAAGAGAGUCAGAGAUAAUACAACUGAGAUAAAUUAGGCUUGAAUAUUCCUUAUGGGGCUGUGCUGUGC